This is a non-coding RNA of Pelobates cultripes (western spadefoot toad), 556 nucleotides long. NCBI's taxonomy places the organism in Eukaryota, Metazoa, Chordata, Amphibia, Anura, Pelobatidae. The record is from the annotation of a GenBank genome assembly.
UACUAUCUCUCUAUUCCCCUUCUUUCUCCCCUUCAAAUCUCAACUUUAAAAGCCAGUGUGAAGAAACUACCCUGUUUGUUCGAUAUUUUGAAUUUUCCCCGUUCGUUAGUUGAAACUACCGAACAACGACCACCCCCCUGGCUCAUUAACUUCAAAGGAAACGGUGAAUUAAGUGCUCUCUCUUUGUGGCCAUUUUGUCGCACGAACAGAUGCAGCGGGACUUGGUUGUCGAGUGUCUGGAACUAAAAUUGGACAUUCGACUUCCCGAACGCCGGUCAAACUUCGCAAACGCCUGCUUCUGUUCACCGACCAGCCAGGAGAGCACUGUUCGGUAGGUUUGUUCCCACAAACUAGGGGAACAAACGCUACCUAUAAGCCAGGGAAACAGUUUGUGGAUUUGUUCGGUUUUUGGACUUCCCGAAAGAGACCGACCACACAGCCUGAUUUCAUGGAACGCUAUCUGGGCAGAAGCCUUGUGUGCGGUCGGUCAAAUUAUGACUUCCAUGGAACUCCUAAACCCCGAACUGAUGUGGGUGAUUUUUGGAUAUGUUGGUCC